This 23-nucleotide non-coding RNA is filed under the name Arabidopsis thaliana (thale cress). Lineage: Eukaryota; Viridiplantae; Streptophyta; Magnoliopsida; Brassicales; Brassicaceae. The record is from RNAcentral.
CUGAUGAAACGAACAGGGCCUUA